CCCUUCGAUGUUCUGGGCCGCACGCGCGCUACACUGACGCAAGCAGCGGGUCCCUGCGCCGAGAGGCGUGGGCAAUCCCCAAACUGCGUCGUGAUGGGGCUUGACGAUUGCAAUUAUUCGUCACCAACGAGGAAUUCCUAGUAAGCGCGAGUCAUCAGCUCGCAUUGAUUACGUCCCUGCCCUUUGUACACACCGCCCGUCGCUCCAACCGAUUGAGUGCUCCGGUGAAUUCUCCGGAUGGGCGGCUUGGUCGCAAGGCCCUGUCGCCCAAAAGUUGUGUGAACCUUAGCACUUAGAGAUUGGAGAAGUCGUAACA
Molecule: ribosomal RNA, 316 nt
Filed under: uncultured eukaryote
Lineage: Eukaryota
Description: partial 18S ribosomal RNA
Rfam family: Eukaryotic small subunit ribosomal RNA
Source: RNAcentral